Molecule: long non-coding RNA, 927 nt
Filed under: Struthio camelus australis
Lineage: Eukaryota; Metazoa; Chordata; Aves; Struthioniformes; Struthionidae
Description: lncRNA (ENSSCUG00000011809.1)
Source: RNAcentral
UGAAAAAGAAUAAAAGGUCACGGUGUGAAAUUUACCUUUAGGUUCUGCUGCCCGAAGGCUUCCCCUUGCGAUCAUGAGUGGCUCUACUGACUUCAGAGGGGUUAUUUUCAGAGCAGGUGAGCCGGAUGUGGCCCCUCUUCCAACGACAAACACUAACGUUGCUUGGGCAACCGCUGAGCCCAACGCUUGUAAAGUUUUGCUUAAGUUGCACCCACAAACCAUGUCUACAGAAGCACCAACAGCUUCUCUAGACAUCACACGGUGCAGAGUGGUCCAAGGAGAACAGCAGCAAGGGUCCUGACUCACUGCUUUCCGUCUGUGCUUUGGGAUUUGGGUUACUGGGUAGUCUUCUGAAAGCUUAUUUCCCUCCUGACUAACUCAAGGACUUAAUUUUCAGUGGAAGCGUUGUCAUGGCUCCUCUCCCCUGAAGACCAGGAGCUGGGAGAGCGGCGUGACUAAGCCGGCUGCUUAUCUUUGCUUUUUCCAGAGGCGACGUGUCUCAGGUUGCUGGAGCUCUGCUAACUCUGAGCUAAAACACCAACCGCAGUGUAAGUGCUUGACUUUUCCUCUUAGCUUCCCAGCCUUAUUCUCAAAAAAAUCUACCUUUUUCAUCAUGCCUACAGCUAAUCUAAUCUAAAAGGGGGCACGAUCCAAUGUCCGUGGCAUCCCUCGCUCCAGGGCAUGGUUCGUCCCCCGGCUGCCCGUGCUUCCGCCUGCGGUCCAUCCCGUGGGCAGCGACUGCAGACCACGGGGGUGCAGCUCGGAGCCCCAAAUCACCCUUGAAGAUAUGUCUUUAUCUAGACUUUGCCCAAGGACAAGAAUACCCCUUUAUCGCUCUCGGAAAUCGGGUGGAAACACCAAGAACUGCCUUUGCUCGAUCCAUCAGGGCAUCACAUUGAAGUGUCAUAACUGUGUCAUAAAAGUCUA